UUCCUGAGCCUUGUACACACCGCCCGUCAAGUCAUGGGAGCCGGGAAUACCCGAAGUGGCCGAGAUUCAUCGGUCCCUACGGUAGGCUCGGUGACUGGGACU
This 102-nucleotide ribosomal RNA is filed under the name uncultured bacterium. RNAcentral's name for it is "partial 16S ribosomal RNA". It matches the Rfam family "Bacterial small subunit ribosomal RNA", at positions 1371 to 1482 of the family's 1533-position model. The record is from RNAcentral.